This 301-nucleotide ribosomal RNA is filed under the name uncultured bacterium. RNAcentral describes it as "bacterial SSU rRNA". It matches the Rfam family "Bacterial small subunit ribosomal RNA", at positions 30 to 336 of the family's 1533-position model. The record is from RNAcentral.
AUUGAACGCUGGCGGCAUGCCUUACACAUGCAAGUCGAACGGCAGCACGGGGCAACCUGGUGGCGAGUGGCGAACGGGUGAGUAAUGCAUCGGAACGUGCCAUUGAGUGGGGAUAACGUAGCGAAAGUUGCGCUAAUACCGCAUAUUCUGUGAGCAGGAAAGCAGGGGACGCAAGGCCUUGCGCUCUUUGAGCGGCCGAUGUCAGAUUAGCUAGUUGGUGAGGUAACGGCUUACCAAGGCGACGAUCUGUAGCGGGCUGAGAGGAUGAUCCGCCACACUGGAACUGAGACACGGUCCAGAC